This 253-nucleotide ribosomal RNA is filed under the name uncultured bacterium. Its description in RNAcentral is "partial 16S ribosomal RNA". It matches the Rfam family "Bacterial small subunit ribosomal RNA", at positions 524 to 776 of the family's 1533-position model. The record is from RNAcentral.
UACAGAGGUCUCAAGCGUUGUUCGGAUUCAUUGGGCGUAAAGGGUGUGUAGGUGGCGCCGUAAGUCGGGUGUGAAAUUUCGGAGCUUAACUCCGAAACUGCAUUCGAUACUGCGGUGCUUGAGGACUGGAGAGGAGACUGGAAUUCAUGGUGUAGCAGUGAAAUGCGUAGAGAUCAUGAGGAAGACCAGUGGCGAAGGCGGGUCUCUGGACAGGUCCUGACACUGAGGCACGAAGGCCAGGGGAGCAAACGGG